RNAcentral lists this ribosomal RNA (253 nucleotides) under uncultured bacterium. RNAcentral describes it as "partial 16S ribosomal RNA". It matches the Rfam family "Bacterial small subunit ribosomal RNA", at positions 524 to 776 of the family's 1533-position model. The record is from RNAcentral.
UACGGAGGGGGCAAGCGUUGUCCGGAAUUAUUGGGCGUAAAGAGCUCGUAGGCGGUUUGUUGCGUCGGCUGUGAAAUCCCGAGGCUCAACCUCGGGUCUGCAGUCGAUACGAGCAAACUAGAGUGUUGCAGGGGAGACUGGAAUUCCUGGUGUAGCGGUGAAAUGCGCAGAUAUCAGGAGGAACACCGGUGGCGAAGGCGGGUCUCUGGGCAACAACUGACGCUGAGGAGCGAAAGCGUGGGGAGCGAACAGG